UAGUGGCAACACCGAAUUCCCAGUUCUCAUGAAAGUUCGUCUGCAGCAAAAAUCCAGUCUCCCUGUCAGUGAUUGGCUCAUCCCUUUUCUGUUUUGAUUUUUGAAUUCUGGGCUUAUUUCACUAGUUAAAUUGACGUUUAUCGUGCUGCUGAUAAAAAUGGUGAUGAAGUGCUUUGUGGCAUGUUGCUCUGCCGGGUAUGCCUCAAAUAAGGUGAAAGUUACAAAAUUUCGUGCUCCAAAAGACGAAAAACAAUUCAUUCUCUGGCAGAAAGCUAUUCCCAGAACCGAUAGAAAGUUGACAAGAAAAGACUAUGUGUGCGCAAACCACUUUGAAGAGAAAUAUUUAACGAAAGUAAAAACCAUUCUUGAUCAAGAAUUUCCUCUGAAGAUCUGGAAGUUGGCAGCUGAAGCCAUUCCUACUCUAAAUCUAUGGAGUGACACGGAUAAUCAACUCGAAAUUCUAAUCAUUUUGACUUGAUACAUUCUAGGAGCUCACUGCGAGUAGAACUGCCAUGUUCUUACACGGGGAAGUGAUCAGAUGGAAAUGACGGCCUUGAAUGCUGGACUUUUUAUGUUGUGGCGCUUUGGGUUUUUCCAUUAGGGACGAUUCCUGCUGCCACACCCCUUAUCGAAAAAUGAAACAAAUUCAAACAGGUCAUUGACAGGUCAGUUUGUAGGGGUCAAAAACCUAUCCGGCUCCAACCUUUCCGGCCGCCCUCUUAUCCUACAUGUCAUUUCAAAUGUCCAACUUCCACCUGCAACACAGCAGGAGGAUGUCUAGUAUUUAGUAAAUCACCGCACCAUAUUGUAUAGCACCCGGUAGAUUUAUGGUCAUAUUUUUCCGUCCCGUUUUAAUUUGAACUGGUUUCAACGGGUUUCAUUCUUCGCCAAGGUUAAACCUGUCUUCCAAAUUCAUGCGCAUUUGCCGCCACGAUAUUUCUGCACGCGCCAACUUGUCGGAUGUGUCCUCGUCCGCUCCGGAGAUUCCCAUCAAAGAGUGCGCUAUUCACAGAGUUCUGUAGUGCCAGGUACUGCUGAAAGAUCCAAUCAGGCACCAACUGCAUCACUUAAGUAAGAAGUGUAUUUAAAUUUUUGUUUUCGUUAUUAAGUUUAAGUAAGUCUAUAGAGUUAGAUUUCAAGAAUGUUUAAUUCUUGUUUUCUUCGGUAGUGGAGUGAAAGAAUUCCAUUCUUGGAAAAAUUCUCUUUUUCGACCUAUUAAAUAAAACAAACGGUACGAAACUUAUAUUAGUGCAUAUUAUAAAAUACGAUAGUAAAACAGAAGUUGAACUAGUUGUUAGCACGAUAAGAAAAUUAAUCUAGCGAUAAAGUAGUUACAUUAUGCCGACGCAGAAUGUACGGCUUCACAUUACUCAUUAGAAAAAUAUUAAACGUGUUGAAUGACAUUUGAAAAAUUGACGCUUUAAUUGUUUUGCUGUACUAUUUUGUGUCUAUUUCGUUCAAUUAUUUACAUUGUCACCAUUUUCACGUCAGUGCUGAAAAACGCCAACGAUCUCUGCUACGUAUAGUCAAUUCAUUUUGAAAGAUUUCGGCAUCAUUUUUAUGAUUUUAUGGCGAUUAGUUUCCUCCUCUUCCGCAGGACCUGCAUCUUCCCCGCCGGAUGCGGCAGCUGCAGUUGUUGGAGCGGCCGUUGAAGCCACUGGCGCCGUUGAAGCGACCGAGGCGGACGCUGAAGGUGGCUUAUUCCCUCCUCCUCCGGCUAUUCCGGAUGGAUUGGUGUUGUUAUUCUCCGCUAUAACAGGAAGAAUCCCUGGCGGAAAGAAACCUGGCCCUACUCCCGGAUAGCCAGCACCAGGUAAGAUUCCUGGAUAGUAAGGAUUAUUCAAACCAACACUGGGAUAGAAUCCUUGUCCGGAUCCAGCACCGGGGUAGAAUCCCUGUCCCGGAAUCAUUCCUCCGCCACCUCCAAAUUGAGGAUGAUGUGGAUGAAACCCUCCUCCGCCUCCUGCUGGAAAUUGUGCUGGAUAUCCUGGUGGGAAAGCUCCUUGCUGGUACGGAUUUGACCCGAAUCCGCCGGCGUAAGUGAAUUAACUUGGACGAGGUACGAGCGAGAAGAGAAAACUGAUUUUGUUGUGCAGCAAAUUUUCCUUCGUCAGCUUCUUGGAACACUUCAAUGACUUGGGCUUCACCCUGGGCAUCGACGGAUAUCCCGCCGUAAGUCGCCAGUGCCAACAGCAGCAGAAGAAACGCAAACACUCUAUUACUCAUCAUGAUGAGUGGAUCCGACGAGUACUGGACUUUUGAUUCUGGUGUCCUUAUCGAUGACGAGUCGACUUUUUAUACCUGUGUGAUACAGAGUACCACUAUAGUGCACGUUUCAUCGAUUCGACCCAAAUGAUCCUGAUGCAAAACACCAGCAUUUUCCAACCGAGUUGAAUUUUCAAUCAGCGAUGGACGGCGACGAGGAACUUGCACAGCGAUAAAUAAAGGCGAGAUGUGCAACACACGCAAGAGGUCACGGACAAGAGUUUCAAGCCGGGAAGGAGAAAUUCAUCGAGAAACUACGCCAAAAAUAAAACUUUUAAAAUGACAGAAAUGGCUUCUGUUGUUGGCGUAUUUCGAGAAAUUGUCUUACCUCAUCGGUGAAUCAUCUGUGUACGACGGAAAGAAGA
This is an RNA transcript of Daphnia pulex (common water flea), 2630 nucleotides long. RefSeq lists it as uncharacterized. The record is from RefSeq and is a predicted model, not a curated record. The transcript has 7 exons. NCBI's taxonomy places the organism in Eukaryota, Metazoa, Arthropoda, Branchiopoda, Diplostraca, Daphniidae.